RNAcentral lists this ribosomal RNA (245 nucleotides) under uncultured prokaryote. RNAcentral describes it as "partial 16S ribosomal RNA". It matches the Rfam family "Bacterial small subunit ribosomal RNA", at positions 524 to 768 of the family's 1533-position model. The record is from RNAcentral.
UACGGAGGAUGCGAGCGUUAUCCGGAUUUAUUGGGUUUAAAGGGUGCGUAGGCGGAUAUGUAAGUCAGCGGUGAAACUCACAGGCUCAACCUGUGCCGUGCCGUUGAAACUGUGUAUCUGGAAUGCGGAUGCUGUGGGAGGAAUGUGUAGUGUAGCGGUGAAAUGCAUAGAUAUUACACAGAACACCGAUUGCGAAGGCAUCUCACAAAGCCAAGAUUGACGCUGAGGCACGAAAGUGUGGGGAU